This 31-nucleotide non-coding RNA is filed under the name Mus musculus (house mouse). Lineage: Eukaryota; Metazoa; Chordata; Mammalia; Rodentia; Muridae. RNAcentral also lists the same sequence under 1 other name. The record is from RNAcentral.
UGGGUUUGUCUUUCAGAUUUCUGAUUUCCAC